UACGAAGGGGGCUAGCGUUGCUCGGAAUCACUGGGCGUAAAGCGCACGUAGGCGGAUUGUUAAGUCAGGGGUGAAAUCCUGGAGCUCAACUCCAGAACUGCCUUUGAUACUGGCGAUCUUGAGUCCGGGAGAGGUGAGUGGAACUGCGAGUGUAGAGGUGAAAUUCGUAGAUAUUCGCAAGAACACCAGUGGCGAAGGCGGCUCACUGGCCCGAUAAUGACGCUGAGGCACGAAAGCGUGGGGAGCAAACAGG
RNAcentral lists this ribosomal RNA (253 nucleotides) under uncultured bacterium. RNAcentral's name for it is "partial 16S ribosomal RNA". It matches the Rfam family "Bacterial small subunit ribosomal RNA", at positions 524 to 776 of the family's 1533-position model. The record is from RNAcentral.